Molecule: ribosomal RNA, 367 nt
Filed under: uncultured Pelotomaculum sp.
Lineage: Bacteria; Bacillati; Bacillota; Clostridia; Eubacteriales; Desulfotomaculaceae
Description: bacterial SSU rRNA
Rfam family: Bacterial small subunit ribosomal RNA
Source: RNAcentral
UUCUUCGGACAGAGGAGACAGGUGGUGCAUGGUUGUCGUCAGCUCGUGUCGUGAGAUGUUGGGUUAAGUCCCGCAACGAGCGCAACCCCUACGUUUAGUUGCUAACGCGUGAAGGCGAGCACUCUAGACGAACUGCCGUUGACAAAACGGAGGAAGGUGGGGAUGACGUCAAAUCAUCAUGCCCCUUAUGUUCUGGGCUACACACGUGCUACAAUGGCCGGUACAGACGGACGCAAAGCCGCGAGGUGGAGCAAAUCCUAAAAAGCCGGUCUCAGUUCGGAUUGCAGGCUGCAAUUCGCCUGCAUGAAGUUGGAAUCGCUAGUAAUCGUGGAUCAGCCAAGCCGCGGUGAAUACGUUCCCGGGCCUU